This is a long non-coding RNA of Rhododendron vialii, 2983 nucleotides long. RefSeq lists it as uncharacterized. The transcript has 3 exons. Lineage: Eukaryota; Viridiplantae; Streptophyta; Magnoliopsida; Ericales; Ericaceae. The record is from RefSeq and is a predicted model, not a curated record.
ACGGGUUUUUUUUUUUUUUUUUUUUUUGAUCAGAUCCUGCGGGUUUUUUUCGAAUUGAGAUUUUCUCAUCUUAAAGAAGAGAGAAAAUGCAAAAUUUAUUUUCCCCUUUAUUAAGGCAUAGAGUCCUCAUUCAAUACGCCGGACGGCUGGAGUCAAAUAAGGAAUGCAGAGUUGUUACCCACUCGAACACUGCCACUUCGAGUUUGGGCCCAAUUCAAACUAGGGUUUCAAUUGCGAGCGGCUACAAAAAAAAAAAAAAAAAACAUUCAACGCCGCCGUCACCACGCCAUUACUCGUCGGAGCUUUGUUCUUUGCUUCACGAUGCAGUUCGGAGCUUGUUCUAGGGUUUUGAACAGCAUCCAAGUAUCCUACUUACGACCAAGUGACCUCUCUGGCCGUCUACUCUUCCAGAUCUUCACUUCGGAAUCACGCUGCUUUUCCUAGCAGAAAUUUUUUGUUGCUGAGCGACUGUAGAAAAUUCCAGCGGCGGUUCCUUCGAAAGAGAGGUCAUCUUCUGUAAUUUUAAUAUCAUGUGGCGUAUUUAUUAUACAUCGUUUCAGUUGUUGCCGAAUUGUGUUUACUUAUUUGGUAGCAAGGGAUUUAUCUCACUUUUUAUGGAACUUAGAGUGUCCGGGUCAGCUUACACGUACGGCCCUCGACUAAUAUCAUGUAUGUAUUCAUGAUUAUUGGAGUGGCAUAUGUAGGGUUUCAUGUUUGUAGGAGACUGUUGUACAUUUGUAAUGUUUAUGCUUCGUUAAAAAGCGAACUUGCCACCAGCUAAUUGCUAUUUCUCCACUUAUUCCCUAAUCUCCUGACACUUGCAUCUUAAUUCCAAGUAGCAGAACGUAACAUUGACAAUGAGAGAGAAACAAAUCUAGGGCUCUUGAAAAUAAAUACAUGCCUGAAUCACAUCUGGUAAUCGUCCAGGAAGUCCUUGUGCAGCUAUAUUUUCUCUACCAUUCUCUUCCUGUUUCUCUGGUGUUGGUACAUUUCUUUGACACAGUGCCAAAUGUUUGGAUUGCUGACAUUCCUUUCAAAUUUUUUUUUUUGGUAAUCAAAAUAUUUGUUAGAGAACAGACAUUACAAAGACCACGAAGGGCAUACCUCCAAAUUACUAGGGGACCUAACAACAAAGUACAUUUUACGUACAACCGUACAAGUUGUUACUGAAAGGGGAAUUUCCCAAGAAUGCAAAGAACAAGGAUAUGAUAGGUGAAGCUUUUAGACAAGAUAAUUGAUUUGAUCCUUACAUGAACCUAACUUUGUGAACCACAUUUGAAGUUGGCCUUCGAGUACCGUAAAAAAUUAUGUAGUUCCUUUCCUGGCAGAUAUAAUUUUUUUUCGCACUGUGAAGAAAAUUUUCAUUUAUCAUAAGGACAAAUAAAUGAAACAGUACCAUAAGAAAAGAAAAGCAUUGAGAGAGCCUUGGAAAGUGCACGAUACUCUCCUAGUACAGCUACUCCCUAAUUCUUAACCUAGCUCUCAGCGUUUCAAAGAUUUUUUGUUGGAAAAGAAAAAAACAACUGUAGUUAGCAAAAAGUUUGACUACACUAAACACCCAAAAGCUUGAACCACCCAAAAAACAAACGCAUUCAUAAUAACCCUAAAAUUUGUAUGGCGCAUCUGCCCCAGCAGUGGACGUCUUGAAACGCCUUUAGUUCCUCACACGAGUUCCCAUCCGCCCCUUAAUAGCAGUAGAAGAACUGGCAGAUAUAAUAUACCAUGGCUGCCCAAGCUAUUUUCUUUAUAAUGUUGUGGAAGGACUUCCCAAUCAAUUCUCCAGUAGGCCAACUGACUUCAUGAUUAUGCCAGGAAUGUUGAGGCUUAGAAUGCCACACAAAGAGAGAGAACUUGCUGCCAAAGUGAUCUUGAAAAGCGGCAGCCAAGAAAAGAUGGGAAAGGCAUUCAUUAUCAAUCUGGCAUAGAAGGCAAGUAGGAGAGAUUUGAAACCCCUAACUUUUGAUUUUAUCCUUAAUUCUCAGACUGCAUUUGAUUGCCAACCAAAGAAUAAAGCAAUGCCUUGGAAUAGAUUUAGGGAACUUAACUAAGUGAUGCCAGUGCCCUGUAGGCGAAGAAGUGCUUAUGAUAAUUCCAUUCUCCAGCUACUUUAUAUAAGGAAGAGGGAGAGACUGUCCAUUUGAUUUGAUCAGGCAUAUUGCUUUGAUUGAAAGUGGGAGAAGAGAGGGUGGAAAGGGUUUAGUCCAUUCGUUGUUGAAAAUGACACAACUACACAAGAGACUUUAGCAUUAGUUGGAAGACCAUUAUUCUAUGACCAAAACAGCCAUCAAGCAGGUCAAUAAUGCUAGUGAGAUUGGAUCCUCAAGAAUGCCCCAUAAAGAUAAUCUAAAUGAUUUUGAAGAACGUGAGGGAAUUUGAGGAAUGCUAAUGGUGGUCUGUCCCAAUUAAGCACAAAGUUGCCUAUUUCUCGUUUGGAGGGAGAAUUCUCUUUUUUAGGCAACAAAAGUCAACAUACUGUAGAUUUGAGGUAAGUUGGUAAAAGUCCUGGUAAACGGAAGGAUCUUCCUUGUAGUAAAAAUUUUAGUGGGCAAGUUUGAUAGGGUGAGACUUUCUCUUUGGCACUAAAUGUCUUCUCUUUGUUAUUUGCAGCAUGACCUAUCUGAUUCAACUGUCAUGAGGAGUAUAGGUGAAGUAGUAAGAUAUUCUCUUCUAGCGCAUAGAAGUGCCUUACAGGAAUAGCAACGCUGGAGGUUAAUGAAGCUGCUAGGGAUGAGGACUUGAGUGAGUCUUGGUUUGUGGUUGCAGAUGCCUCUACAGAUGGUAUACCUUUCUCCUUUCUCCCAGUUUACAUAUUGUUUUUUAAGACAAAUAAGUUUUAAUAGGUUUCAAAAUAAGAUUUUAUAGGUUUCAAGAAAUAAUACUGAUAGCGGUUAGCUGGGUUUUUCGGUAAACUUGCUGGCAGCAUUCGUUUGAAAUUAGGCUAUUCUAAAAUUGUACUUUUGAGGUUGAUGUUCAUCUUAUCUAU